RNAcentral lists this ribosomal RNA (490 nucleotides) under uncultured bacterium. Its description in RNAcentral is "partial 16S ribosomal RNA". It matches the Rfam family "Bacterial small subunit ribosomal RNA", at positions 30 to 507 of the family's 1533-position model. The record is from RNAcentral.
AUUGAACGCUGGCGGCAGGCCUAACACAUGCAAGUCGAACGGUAACAGGAAGCAGCUUGCUGCUUCGCUGACGAGUGGCGGACGGGUGAGUAAUGUCUGGGAAGCUGCCUGAUGGAGGGGGAUAACUACUGGAAACGGUAGCUAAUACCGCAUAAUGUCGCAAGACCAAAGAGGGGGACCCUCGGGCCUCUUGCCAUCGGAUGUGCCCAGAUGGGAUUAGCUUGUUGGUGGGGUAACGGCUCACCAAGGCGACGAUCCCUAGCUGGUCUGAGAGGAUGACCAGCCACACUGGAACUGAGACACGGUCCAGACUCCUACGGGAGGCAGCAGUGGGGAAUAUUGCACAAUGGGCGCAAGCCUGAUGCAGCCAUGCCGCGUGUAUGAAGAAGGCCUUCGGGUUGUAAAGUACUUUCAGCGGGGAGGAAGGGAGUAAAGUUAAUACCUUUGCUCAUUGACGUUACCCGCAGAAGAAGCACCGGCUAACUCCGUG